UAGUCCACGCCGUAAACGAUGGUUACUAGCUGUUUGGACUAAUUGAGGUCUAAGUGGCCAAGCGAAAGUGAUAAGUAACCCACCUGGGGAGUACGUUCGCAAGAAUGAAACUCAAAGGAAUUGACGGGGGCCCGCACAAGCGGUGGAGCAUGUGGUUUAAUUCGAUGAUACGCGAGGAACCUUACCAGGGCUUAAAUGCAGUAUGACAGAUUUGGAAACAGAUUUUUCUUCGGACAUAUUGCAAGGUGCUGCAUGGUUGUCGUCAGCUCGUGCCGUGAGGUGUCAGGUUAAGUCCUAUAACGAGCGCAACCCCUAUUGCUAGUUGCCAGCGGAUAAUGCCGGGGACUCUAGUGAGACUGCCGGUGCAAACCGUGAGGAAGUGGGGAUGACGUCAAAUCAUCACGGCCCUUACGUCCUGGGCCACACACGUGCUACAAUGGACGUACAAAGGGCAGCUACCUGGCGACAGGAUGCUAAUCUCUAAAACCGNUCGUAGUCCGGAUUGGAGU
Molecule: ribosomal RNA, 509 nt
Filed under: uncultured bacterium
Lineage: Bacteria
Description: bacterial SSU rRNA
Rfam family: Bacterial small subunit ribosomal RNA
Source: RNAcentral